AGUUCUAGGUGAGUAUAUGGUUGGGUGAAGAAGCGGAAGAGAUAUGUGAUGAAACCCAAGCCCUUGUCUUUAGCAUUGAAAUAGCUCUGUGACUCGGUUUCAGUGGAACACUCCAUUCAGGCUGACGGGUUUCUUUCCUUCCUCUUUCUGUAAUGAGUGAGAUUUACAAGAAGCUGAAUCAAGCCUACUAUAGAUACUGUACUACCAAGAUGUGGCAGGGAGUGCUGGUUGUGCACAAAAACCCACUCCCCCUUUUCCCCCAGGAACUGACUCGGAGCUGGAUACUGACUUCCCAACCAGCCAGUUUUCUGCCGCCGCGUGGCUAAGAUCUCUCCACAACAGCAGGAAUGCUGGUGCCACUUCGGGAUCUGGACCUAAGACAAAGGGGCUGAAGUUCCCUGCCUAUCUCUUCCCCUUCCCGCUGGCUGGAACCUAGAAACAGCGACUCCCCUUCGACCAUGUAAACAACAAUUUUCCCCUUGUGUCUCCUCCUGCUCCUGUGGUGAAGCAACAAGACGAAAGGAACCCACUUGCCUGAGUCAUGCAAGAGAAAUGAAGCUAUAUAUUCAUGGCAGGUGUGGUCACAUCUGCUUCUUGAUCAGUGGUUCUCAGCCUUGACUACAAUUAGAAUCACACUGAGAGAAACCAAGACCCUUUUGGAGAACUGGAUGGUUCCAGGUAUAGGGUAGAGAAAAUAUAAGGUUAUUACAAGAUAAAGAAUAAAAUAAUGUCAUUUGCAGCAACAUGGAUAGACCUGGAGAUCAUCAUUCUAAGUGAAAGCCAGUGUACAACUCUGAAGAGAGAAGAAUGGCCACUGUGUAUAAUGCUGGAGAAAUCCUCCCUGCCACCCAUCUUUCCUUCUGUUGGACAGCCAGGCCAGUCUUUCUAUAACAACUUUUCGAUUCUGAAUCUUGCUCAAAAUUUGCUAAGGUAUCCCUUUUGUCUCCUGCCCAGAAUCCAGGCUCUCUAACCUGCCUUCAGUGAUUGCCCUCCCACCAAAAAUCACCCCCCAAACAGGGCCAAACUGGUCCAUUUUUUUUCCCUUUGCUCAUCCUGCUUAAAGUGAAUUUUAUCCAAAUCCUAAUCACCCUUCAAGAGCCAGCUCAAGGCCUCUCUCAUUCAUAAGAGCCUUCCCAGUCCUUGCGGCUCACAUAUUAACUCUCUCUGAGUGCUUGUCUGAGCUCUUUUUUCUUUUGGCAUUCAAUAAAAUAUUCCCUUUUUA
This is a long non-coding RNA of Camelus dromedarius (Arabian camel), 1222 nucleotides long. RefSeq lists it as uncharacterized. The transcript is spliced from 5 exons. NCBI's taxonomy places the organism in Eukaryota, Metazoa, Chordata, Mammalia, Artiodactyla, Camelidae. The record is from RefSeq and is a predicted model, not a curated record.